GCAGAUGUAGUUUAAUGGUAGAACCUCAGCCUUCCAAGCUGACUGCGUGGGUCCGAUUCCCAUCAUCUGCUCCA
Molecule: transfer RNA, 74 nt
Filed under: Bacillota bacterium
Lineage: Bacteria; Bacillati; Bacillota
Description: tRNA-Gly
Rfam family: tRNA
About the family: Transfer RNA (tRNA) molecules are approximately 80 nucleotides in length. Their secondary structure includes four short double-helical elements and three loops (D, anti-codon, and T loops).
Source: RNAcentral